RNAcentral lists this ribosomal RNA (460 nucleotides) under uncultured bacterium. Its description in RNAcentral is "partial 16S ribosomal RNA". It matches the Rfam family "Bacterial small subunit ribosomal RNA", at positions 338 to 795 of the family's 1533-position model. The record is from RNAcentral.
CCUACGGGUGGCAGCAGUGAGGAAUAUUGGUCAAUGGACGAGAGUCUGAACCAGCCAAGUAGCGUGAAGGAUGACUGCCCUAUGGGUUGUAAACUUCUUUUAUAUGGGAAUAAAAUGUUCCACGUGUGGGAUUUUGUAUGUACCAUAUGAAUAAGGAUCGGCUAACUCCGUGCCAGCAGCCGCGGUAAUACGGAGGAUCCGAGCGUUAUCCGGAUUUAUUGGGUUUAAAGGGAGCGUAGGGGGAUUGUUAAGUCAGUUGUGAAAGUUUGCGGCUCAACCGUAAAAUUGCAGUUGAAACUGGCAGUCUUGAGUACAGUAGAGGUGAGCGGAAUUCGUGGUGUAGCGGUGAAAUGCUUAGAUAUCACGAAGAACUCCGAUUGCGAAGGCAGUUCACUGGACUGCAACUGACACUGAGGCUCGAAAGUGUGGGUAUCAAACAGGAUUAGAUACCCGGGUAGUC